RNAcentral lists this ribosomal RNA (760 nucleotides) under uncultured bacterium. RNAcentral describes it as "bacterial SSU rRNA". It matches the Rfam family "Bacterial small subunit ribosomal RNA", at positions 67 to 847 of the family's 1533-position model. The record is from RNAcentral.
CGGGAGAAUUGCUAGCUUGCUAAUAAUUCUCUAGUGGCGCACGGGUGAGUAACACGUGAGUAACCUGCCCCCAAGAGUGGGAUAGCCCCGGGAAACUGGGAUUAAUACCGCAUAAAAUCGCAAGAUUAAAGCAGCAAUGCGCUUGGGGAUGGGCUCGCGUCCUAUUAGUUAGUUGGUGAGGUAACGGCUCACCAAGGCGAUGACGGGUAGCCGGUCUGAGAGGAUGUCCGGCCACACUGGAACUGAGACACGGUCCAGACACCUACGGGUGGCAGCAGUCGAGAAUCAUUCACAAUGGGGGAAACCCUGAUGGUGCGACGCCGCGUGGGGGAAUGAAGGUCUUCGGAUUGUAAACCCCUGUCAUGUGGGAGCAAAUUAAAAAGAUAGUACCACAAGAGGAAGAGACGGCUAACUCUGUGCCAGCAGCCGCGGUAAUACAGAGGUCUCAAGCGUUGUUCGGAAUCACUGGGCGUAAAGCGUGCGUAGGCGGUUUCGUAAGUCGUGUGUGAAAGGCGGGGGCUCAACCCCCGGACUGCACAUGAUACUGCGAGACUAGAGUAAUGGAGGGGGAACCGGAAUUCUCGGUGUAGCAGUGAAAUGCGUAGAUAUCGAGAGGAACACUCGUGGCGAAGGCGGGUUCCUGGACAUUAACUGACGCUGAGGCACGAAGGCCAGGGGAGCGAAAGGGAUUAGAUACCCCUGUAGUCCUGGCAGUAAACGGUGCACGCUUGGUGUGCGGGGAAUCGACCCCCUGCGUGCC